GGAUUAGCGGCGAACGGGUGAGGAACACGUGAGGAAUCUGCCUUCAACACUGGGAUAACUCCGGGAAACCGGGGCUAAUACCGGAUACGAGACCUGCAGGCAUCUGCGGGUCUGGAAAGUUUUUCGGUUGAAGAUGACCUCGCGGCCUAUCAGCUUGUUGGUGAGGUAAUGGCUCACCAAGGCGACGACGGGUAGCCGGCCUGAGAGGGCGACCGGCCACACUGGGACUGAGACACGGCCCAGACUCCUACGGGAGGCAGCAGUGGGGAAUAUUGGGCAAUGGAGGGAACUCUGACCCAGCGACGCCGCGUGCGGGAUGAAGGCCUUCGGGUUGUAAACCGCUUUCAGCAAGGAAGAAGCGAAAGUGACGGUACUUGCAGAAGAAGCACCGGCUAACUAUGUGCCAGCAGCCGCGGUAAUACAUAGGGUGCAAGCGUUGUCCGGAAUUAUUGGGCGUAAAGAGCUCG
Molecule: ribosomal RNA, 467 nt
Filed under: uncultured Actinomycetes bacterium
Lineage: Bacteria; Bacillati; Actinomycetota; Actinomycetes
Description: bacterial SSU rRNA
Rfam family: Bacterial small subunit ribosomal RNA
Source: RNAcentral